AGUGAACGCUGGCGGUAGGCCUAACACAUGCCAGUCGAACGGCAGCACAGUAAGAGCUUGCUCUUACGGGUGGCGAGUGGCGGACGGGUGAGGAAUACAUCGGAAUCUACUUUUUCGUGGGGGAUAACGUAGGGAAACUUACGCUAAUACCGCAUACGACCUACGGGUGAAAGCAGGGGACCUUCGGACCUUGCGCGAUUGAAUGAGCCGAUGUCGGAUUAGCUAGUUGGCGGGGUAAAGGCCCACCAAGGCGACGAUCCGUAGCUGGUCUGAGAGGAUGAUCAGCCACACUGGAGCUGAGACACGGUCCAGACUCCUGCGGGAGGCAGCAGUGGGGAAUAUUGGACAAUGGGCGCAAGCCUGAUCCAGCCAUACCGCGUGGGUGAAGAAGGCCUUCGGGUUGUAAAGCCCUUUUGUUGGGAAAGAAAAGCAGCAGGUUAAUACCCCGCUGUUCUGACGGUACCCAAAGAAUAAGCACCGGCUAACUUCGUG
Molecule: ribosomal RNA, 492 nt
Filed under: uncultured bacterium
Lineage: Bacteria
Description: partial 16S ribosomal RNA
Rfam family: Bacterial small subunit ribosomal RNA
Source: RNAcentral